CCUACGGGUGGCAGCAGUGGGGAAUAUUGCACAAUGGGGGAAACCCUGAUGCAGCGACGCCGCGUGAGUGAAGAAGUAUUUCGGUAUGUAAAGCUCUAUCAGCAGGGAAGAAAAAAGACGGUACCUGACUAAGAAGCCCCGGCUAACUACGUGCCAGCAGCCGCGGUAAUACGUAGGGGGCAAGCGUUAUCUGGAUUUACUGGGUGGAAAGGGAGCGUAGACGGGGCGGCAAGUCUGAAGUGAAAGGGAGGGGCUUAACCCCGGAACUGCUUUGGAAACUGCCAUGCUAGAGUGCUGGAGAGGUAAGUGGAAUUCCUAGUGUAGCGGUGAAAUGCGUAGAUAUUAGGAGGAACACCAGUGGCGAAGGCGGCUUACUGGACAGUAACUGACGUUGAGGCUCGAAAGCGUGGGGAGCAAACAGGAUUAGAUACCCCUGUAGUC
This 441-nucleotide ribosomal RNA is filed under the name uncultured bacterium. Its description in RNAcentral is "partial 16S ribosomal RNA". It matches the Rfam family "Bacterial small subunit ribosomal RNA", at positions 338 to 795 of the family's 1533-position model. The record is from RNAcentral.